GACGAACGCUGGCGGCGUGCUUAACACAUGCAAGUCGAACGGAAAGGCCCUGCUUUUGUGGGGUGCUCGAGUGGCGAACGGGUGAGUAACACGUGAGUAACCUGCCCUUGACUUUGGGAUAACUUCAGGUAACUGGGGCUAAUACCGGAUAGGAGCUCCUGCUGCAUGGUGGGGGUUGGAACGUUUCGGCGGUUGGGGAUGGAUUCGCGGCUUAUCAGCUUGUUGGUGGGGUAGUGGCUUACCAAGGCUUUGACGGGUAGCCGGCCUGAGAGGGUGACCGGCCACAUUGGGACUGAGAUACGGCCCAGACGCCUACGGGAGGCAGCAGUGGGGAAUAUUGCACAAUGGGCGGAAGCCUGAUGCAGCAACGCCGCGUGCGGGAUGACGGCCUUCGGGUUGUAAACCGCUUUCGCCUGUGACGAAGCGUGAGUGACGGUAAUGGGUAAAGAAGCACCGGCUAACUACGUG
Molecule: ribosomal RNA, 468 nt
Filed under: uncultured bacterium
Lineage: Bacteria
Description: partial 16S ribosomal RNA
Rfam family: Bacterial small subunit ribosomal RNA
Source: RNAcentral